This 89-nucleotide transfer RNA is filed under the name Actinobacteria bacterium RBG_19FT_COMBO_70_19. RNAcentral's name for it is "tRNA-Leu". It matches the Rfam family "tRNA". From Rfam's summary of the family: Transfer RNA (tRNA) molecules are approximately 80 nucleotides in length. Their secondary structure includes four short double-helical elements and three loops (D, anti-codon, and T loops). Further hydrogen bonds mediate the characteristic L-shaped molecular structure. tRNAs have two regions of fundamental functional importance: the anti-codon, which is responsible for specific mRNA codon recognition, and the 3' end, to which the tRNAs corresponding amino acid is attached (by aminoacyl-tRNA synthetases). tRNAs cope with the degeneracy of the genetic code in two manners: having more than one tRNA (with a specific anti-codon) for a particular amino acid; and 'wobble' base-pairing, i.e. permitting non-standard base-pairing at the 3rd anti-codon position. The record is from RNAcentral. Lineage: Bacteria; Bacillati; Actinomycetota.
GCCCGGGUGUCGGAACUGGCAGACGACGGCGCCUUAAAAGCGCUUGUCCCGCGAGGGACGUGUGGGUUCGAAUCCCACCCCGGGCACGA